AGGCCCCUUUGGGGGUGCUCGAGUGGCGAACGGGUGAGUAACACGUGGGUGAUCUGCCCUGCACUUCGGGAUAAGCUUGGGAAACUGGGUCUAAUACCGGAUAGGACCACGGCAUGCAUGUGCUGUGGUGGAAAACGUUUUAGUGGUGUGGGAUGGGCCCGCGGCCUAUCAGCUUGUUGGUGGGGUGAUGGCCUACCAAGGCGACGACGGGUAGCCGGCCUGAGAGGGUGUCCGGCCACACUGGGACUGAGAUACGGCCCAGACUCCUACGGGAGGCAGCAGUGGGGAAUAUUGCACAAUGGGCGCAAGCCUGAUGCAGCGACGCCGCGUGGGGGAUGACGGCCUUCGGGUUGUAAACCUCUUUCACCAUCGACGAAGGUCCGGGUUUUCUCGGGUUGACGGUAGGUGGAGAAGAAGCACCGGCCAACUACGUGCCAGCAGCCGCGGUAAUACGUAGGGUGCGAGCGUUGUCCGGAAUUACUGGGCGUAAAGAGCUCGUAGGUGGUUUGUCGCGUUGUUCGUGAAAUUCCCUGGCUUAACUGGGGGCGUGCGGGCGAUACGGGCAGACUGGAGUACUGCA
Molecule: ribosomal RNA, 580 nt
Filed under: uncultured Actinomycetes bacterium
Lineage: Bacteria; Bacillati; Actinomycetota; Actinomycetes
Description: bacterial SSU rRNA
Rfam family: Bacterial small subunit ribosomal RNA
Source: RNAcentral